Molecule: ribosomal RNA, 467 nt
Filed under: uncultured bacterium
Lineage: Bacteria
Description: partial 16S ribosomal RNA
Rfam family: Bacterial small subunit ribosomal RNA
Source: RNAcentral
GAUGAACGCUGGCGGCGUGCUUAACACAUGCAAGUCGAACGGAAAGGCCCAAGCUUGCUUGGGUACUCGAGUGGCGAACGGGUGAGUAACACGUGGGUGAUCUGCCCUGCACUUCGGGAUAAGCCUGGGAAACUGGGUCUAAUACCGGAUAGGACCACUUCUUGGAUGUUGUGGUGGAAAGUUUUUUCGGUGUGGGAUGAGCUCGCGGCCUAUCAGCUUGUUGGUGGGGUAAUGGCCUACCAAGGCGCCGACGGGUAGCCGGCCUGAGAGGGUGUACGGCCACAUUGGGACUGAGAUACGGCCCAGACUCCUACGGGAGGCAGCAGUGGGGAAUAUUGCACAAUGGGCGCAAGCCUGAUGCAGCGACGCCGCGUGGGGGAUGACGGCCUUCGGGUUGUAAACUCCUUUCGCUAGGGACGAAGCGUUUUGUGACGGUACCUGGAGAAGAAGCACCGGCUAACUACGUG